This 497-nucleotide ribosomal RNA is filed under the name uncultured bacterium. RNAcentral describes it as "partial 16S ribosomal RNA". It matches the Rfam family "Bacterial small subunit ribosomal RNA", at positions 28 to 507 of the family's 1533-position model. The record is from RNAcentral.
GAUGAACGCUGGCGGCGUGCCUAAUACAUGCAAGUCGAGCGAACAGACGAGGAGCUUGCUCCUCUGACGUUAGCGGCGGACGGGUGAGUAACACGUGGAUAACCUACCUAUAAGACUGGGAUAACUUCGGGAAACCGGAGCUAAUACCGGAUAAUAUAUUGAACCGCAUGGUUCAAUAGUGAAAGACGGUUUUGCUGUCACUUAUAGAUGGAUCCGCGCCGCAUUAGCUAGUUGGUAAGGUAACGGCUUACCAAGGCAACGAUGCGUAGCCGACCUGAGAGGGUGAUCGGGCCACCUGGAACUGAGACACGGUCCAGACUCCUACGGGAGGCAGCAGUAGGGAAUCUUCCGCAAUGGGCGAAAGCUUGACGGAGCAACGCCGCGUGAGUGAUGAAGGUCUUCGGAUCGUAAAACUCUGUUAUUAGGGAAGAACAAAUGUGUAAGUAACUAUGCACGUCUUGACGGUACCUAAUCAGAAAGCCACGGCUAACUACGUG